UACGGAGGGUGCAAGCGUUGUUCGGAUUUACUGGGCGUAAAGCGCGCGCAGGUGGAUGAACAAGUCGGAAGUGAAAUCUUGAGGCUCAACCUCGAGGCUGCUCCCGAAACUGUUCGUCUAGGGACUGGUAGAGGCUGGUAGAAUUCCCGGUGUAGCGGUGGAAUGCGUAGAGAUCGGGAAGAAUACCCGUGGCGAAGGCGGCAUCCUGGACCGAUACUGACGCUGAGGAGCGAAAGCCAGGGGAGCAAAGCGGG
Molecule: ribosomal RNA, 254 nt
Filed under: uncultured bacterium
Lineage: Bacteria
Description: partial 16S ribosomal RNA
Rfam family: Bacterial small subunit ribosomal RNA
Source: RNAcentral